UGGUGGAGUGAUUUGUCUGGUUAAUUCCGUUAACGAACGAGACCUCGACCUGCUAAAUAGUUCGGCGAAGGCUUCGGCCUUCGACUGUGACUUCUUAGAGGGACUAUCGGUGUGUAGCCGAUGGAAGUUCGAGGCAAUAACA
This 142-nucleotide ribosomal RNA is filed under the name uncultured eukaryote. RNAcentral describes it as "partial 18S ribosomal RNA". It matches the Rfam family "Eukaryotic small subunit ribosomal RNA", at positions 1299 to 1458 of the family's 1831-position model. The record is from RNAcentral.